Molecule: unclassified non-coding RNA, 151 nt
Filed under: uncultured Bartonella sp.
Lineage: Bacteria; Pseudomonadati; Pseudomonadota; Alphaproteobacteria; Hyphomicrobiales; Bartonellaceae
Description: partial 16S-23S ribosomal RNA intergenic spacer
Source: RNAcentral
UCCUCCCAGGCCCACCAAUUUAUGAUUGCUGAUAAGUUUGCUGAUAAGUUUUUUGUGAAUGUUUUGAUGGUUUUUUAUCUUACGAUCUUUCACUUUUAUGUUGCAAUCUUUCAAAAGUAUUUGAACUGUUUUAGGGGCCGUAGCUCAGCUG